GAAGAGCCGUACUGGCGGUGAUUGGACAUGAAUCCUUCAGACGAUUUACAACAUUGGAAAUCAGGUCUAUUUACUGGCGUGUAUACAUUUGUUUUCGUCCUGCAUGCCAAAUGAAAAAGAGGACGAAAACAGAAUAACGUAGGAGUCAUCUAGGGUUCAGUGCGAGCUGCUCAAAUCCAAUCCCGUCGGGGUGGAGAUGGAUUCCAUGACCUUCCUUUUGGCUUCGUCAUUGUCACCAUCUGCUUCUCCUCGACACCCGAGAGAUUUCCGAGGCGUUUGUCUAAGCCUCAUCGGGUCAAACUAUGGCAGGACCCUCCCAGCACAGCAAUGACCAACACCAUGCAGACGGAGUCAACUCGUUUCAGCGGCGUAACUAGACAAAUUGUUGGCUUCCUCCUAGACGCCCCCGCCGACAGCCCUGACACGAGGCAUGUCACUACUGCAGGUGCAGUUGGGCCUGAAAUUGCUUUGUUUAAACUUGUCAGCCUGGAAUGGAGAGGACCUUGUCUUUUUAAAAAAAAAAAAUGUAUUUGGUUUUGUUUUGGAGCACUUAUUUAAAGAGUUAAGACACUUGAUGAAUGCAAAAAUAUGUUUUGAUCAUUAGGACAUUUUUUAAAUGGUUUUUUUGUUAUCCUACGUGUUAUAGACAAGCAAAUCAAACUAAAACUGUUGUUUCAAAUUAUGCUGUAAAAAUA
Long non-coding RNA from Phyllopteryx taeniolatus (common seadragon), 695 nucleotides. RefSeq lists it as uncharacterized. The transcript is spliced from 3 exons. NCBI's taxonomy places the organism in Eukaryota, Metazoa, Chordata, Actinopteri, Syngnathiformes, Syngnathidae. The record is from RefSeq and is a predicted model, not a curated record.